GAGAGGCUUUACAAAAACUCACAGAUAAUUGUUGCUUUGAACUGUGAGUAAUAAAAUAAAAUAUCAAACCACAGUUGUGUCUUCUAUGAACCACUGAGCCUCAAUUACAGGAUAUAGUAACACCUGCUAAAAAUUGAACAGCUGCAUGUACAGUAAGGUAGAGUAGAAACACUUAAAUAGAGGGCUAAUAUUUUUUUCUUCUGUCUUACCUUUUGAGAAUACAUAAAUGCAUGUAGGAUGCCUUCUAAUCUAAUAUUAGAAAGUGGACAUUGAAGUGGAGAAUAUUGUUGGGACAGAUUGUGGGACUGUGUUGAUAAUACAUUAAGAUGAUGUGCUAACAUGCUUCAUGAAUGGAUGAGCCAAUCAGACACUAGCAGAAUCUCCUGUUCUGGAGGCCUAUAAGAAACUGCUUAUCGAAUGAUUCACCAAGCAACACAACAGAGAUGACUUCAUCACUCCUCAUCUGUCUCACAUUUCUGGCAGAAAUCACUUCCGGUGCUCAUACUGGACCAAAGGCAGAAGGCACAAGUGCAAUCAGUAGAGAGGGGGAAUCUGUGACUCUCACCUGCUUGUUUGAAUCAAGCAGUUCUUCUUUUGUGCUCUCUGGCGUAGGCUGAUCCCAAUGAAGGCACCUCAGUAUUGUUGCUUAGGGGUGCUCGAUCAGAUACACGGUAUCAUACCAGUGAUCCUCGCUAUGAUUCUGAAACUUCAAAGACAUCCACUCAUCUCAUCAUUAAAGAUUUAAAGCUAGAAGACACAGCUUCCUACCACUGUGUGCUUGGAGGGAUUAAACACCAUCGUGAAAUGUGUUUAUCAAGCUGUACAAAAACUAAUUUACACACUUGCAGUCUUUCAAAACCAAAGACUGAUUAAAUAAUUUCCUUCCCAUAUUUUGAGAACAAUAAAAUAGGUGCCUAGGCGAAGUGGUUACAUCUGGCAAAUGAAGAUAAUAAAAUCAUAAUGUGCUUUCGAAAAAGCAAUCAGCAGAUAAUAUGAUUAUUAGUCUCUAUUCUGAAAUGUUACUAGAUAAUAACACAAGGUUUUAAAAAAGUUGUUCAAGCCACAUCCAGUCUUUCAAAUAGCAUUGUAAGCAAGCAGGCGGAGCUUCCAAAAUGUUACAUUUCUGUCACUCACCAGUUUCUGUUAUUUUGCUCUGCAGAGGCCAACAAUGCUGCAGUACUUUGUUAUUUUGAUAUUAACUCUUACAGAUCCUAGCUGUGCAGAUGGCAUUACACCGGAGCACGCAGAAGUGAAUGCAGAUGAGACUGAGAACAUUACACUGUCCUGUAGGUAUUCCUCAGCCUACAGUCUUUUAUGGUAUCGACAGCAUCAUGCAUCGGCUCCUCAGUUCCUCAUGCUCAUCAUGCAAAGCUCUGGAAAAAUAAUACAGAGUUCUGAUGAUCGCCUUACAGGAAAACUAAAUGCAGAGAAAAAUCGUUUGGAUCUAGAAAUCCCCUCUUCCUCAGUAAAAGACUCUGCCCUGUAUUUCUGCGCUCUGCAGCCCACAGUGACAGGAAAUCAAACUUUUCUAUACAAAAACCCUCACAGGAUAGGUUGCAGCUGUUAAUUAAA
Long non-coding RNA from Myxocyprinus asiaticus (Chinese sucker), 1572 nucleotides. RefSeq lists it as uncharacterized. The record is from RefSeq and is a predicted model, not a curated record. The transcript has 3 exons. NCBI's taxonomy places the organism in Eukaryota, Metazoa, Chordata, Actinopteri, Cypriniformes, Catostomidae.